This 950-nucleotide long non-coding RNA is filed under the name Macaca mulatta (Rhesus monkey). Its description in RNAcentral is "lncRNA (ENSMMUG00000055587.1)". Lineage: Eukaryota; Metazoa; Chordata; Mammalia; Primates; Cercopithecidae. The record is from RNAcentral.
GCCCUGGGUAGGGUAGGGCCCUGGAGAAGGCCAGAGGAGGUGCUCCAAGUUCUUGACUGGAGUCCUCUCCAGGAGCUGGAAUUUGUGGUGAUUUGCUUCUCUAGACCCAGGUCCUACCAGGUGCCCCAUCUGGGGAGCACUUUCCAGGUCUGGGCCUAACCCCUUGGUGCUGGUAGAAGAAUAAAUGUCCGUAUCAGGCUGGCAACUCCACCAUGCUGGGACAGGCACCAAGAGGGUUUGGUACAAAGAGAGCCAGUGAAGGGGCUUGCAGGAGAGGCAGUUUGGUUCUCAUAGCCAGGUUGGAGGUGGAAAUAAGAGCCAUUUGAAGAAUUAGUGGCGGAUUUUAGCUGCCGUGGAGGGCGCACAGCUUUGGGCAGGGAAAGUGUCCUUCUCACCACCCCAGCAAGUCUUUUUUUGUCUAUUUCUUUCAAGUGGAGAUAAUCCCUUCUACCUGGCCAGACAGCUGAACUGUUUUCAUUUUUUUUCUUCUUCAGUAAUAAAUCUGCCAACCCUGCAGGGCCUGAGCCAAGGGCUUGCUUGCUGCGUCUACACAGAGGUCUCAUAAAAAUGGUGUAAAACGAAAGAGAAAAAUGCAUAUUUCACACUUGGUCUGUUCUAGGUGAUGGUGAUUUUCGACUCAUUCCCGUUACAAACAGCCGACCUUCCUACCGAGUUCAAGUACCUUCUGCCUGGCCUGGAAGAACCGUAUCUCUCUGUCACCCUCUUCCUCUGGCCCUCACCUGCCCUCCCCUGAACAUGCAUUUUGCCUGAGAGGAGACAGAGGCGGUUGGUGCUUGCAGCUUGGUCCAGGACGCCAGCGGGACCAGACAGAAGACCACAGCGACACGUGGGGAUGGCUGUUCCACAGGCAGAAAUGGGCAGCCAGGAGGAAGUCCGGGCAGCCAGCCACCCAGCUCCUUCCACAUCGUGGCCCUAGAACGGAGUCUUGA